RNAcentral lists this long non-coding RNA (2340 nucleotides) under Monomorium pharaonis (pharaoh ant). RNAcentral's name for it is "uncharacterized LOC118648470, transcript variant X2". The record is from RNAcentral. Lineage: Eukaryota; Metazoa; Arthropoda; Insecta; Hymenoptera; Formicidae.
AUAAUAUAAUAUUAUUAUAGUCUUUAUUAUCGAACUGGGAUUGCCGGUCCACAACAUUAUUUAUAAUACUACUACAAUAUUAUAUCUUACUACUUCCAUAUUCCAUUUAUAUUACAUAGCCUUUAACGCAGCUUCCGUAUUCUCUUUUCACUCAUUCAUGCCUAGCUCCAUCCUCUUAUGUUCUUUUUCUCUCUCUAAUCCCUGUCACGCGGCCUGGCUAUUUGUGAUCUUACAACCUUCUCCUCCCUCCCCUACCCUUGUUUCUAAAAUAUAACCUCUCCUUUUCACGUCCUUCUUCCUCUUAUGACUUCCUUUUUAGUUCGCAUCUUUCGUGCUCUCCGUCUCUCUUCCAUCUUCCUGCGGGUGUCCCUGAGAGGUCGAUGCUCGGCUCGCUAUUCAACAUCUUUAUCAAUGACCUUUGUCAUUCCAUAACGCACUACCACCAUCUCCAAUGACAAGGACAAUCUCCAAAUUUACAUUUAUUUUUACGCUCAUCGAUAGUCUUUCUUCUUUACUUAAAAAAUAAUAAGACAUAAGAGAAUUUAAAAUAUACAUUUUUAAGUUUACUUUUAUAUAUUUUUAAUAAUCUAUUUUUUCUAAUACAAUAUUUUAUUUAUGUCUGAAAAAACGAGAAGUAAAAUAAUGGAAAUCAUAUAUAUUUUUAUGUGAUCAAACAGAUAGGUUAAUACAAUAAAAUUUCUAUAUAAUUAAACAAUCAAAUAUGUUGAUUUUGUGAUAGAUCGUAAAACAUAAUUUAUUUGUAUAUUUAUUACAUAUUAUUUUGACACAAAAAAUACGCGCGCAGUUUUAUAAAAAUUAAAUUAACGCUAAUUUUCUAAUGUAAUUUUUGUUUUAUUUUUGUACACUCUUCUUUUUCUACAUCAUCAUUUUACCUAAAAACAUGGAACUGUUUUUUUUGUCCUCUUUUAACUUCUAUAAAAGAAAGACUAUCGAUGAGCGAGAAAAUUGUUAUUCAUUCAGACAAUAAACCAAAAAUUAUUCAGUUCGAAUACAAAAAAUAAUGUUGUACAAGCAAUAUAAAUAAAUAUAUUACAAUAUAAGUGUCAGAAGUAUAAAGCCAGCGGCACACGAUACGAUUUUUUGUACUAUAAGUUUUGUUAAUGGAUGCCUUACAUGCGGCUUUCUUAAGUACUGUGCGUGCUCCAAUCAUAAGUGUGCUACUAGUUUUGGCUUCACACGUGCAAAGUAUUUUGCGUAUUAGGUUAAUAUUUCAGUUAAAAGAUUUUUGGAGACUCUUAUAUAUAUAUACAUAGGUGAUACGGUGCACCAAAUUUAUUUUUUAGUAUUUUAGUAAGUAUUAAAAUAAUUACAUAAAAGAUAUUAAAAUAAUUAAAAAAAAAAGAAAAAGUAAGUUUGAAUAAUACAAAAUUUUAAUUAUUAACAGUGAAUACUUGCACUACAAUGUAUUAGUACACAUUUAUAUUUUUAAUGUUUUAUUUAUAAAUUAUCUAAAUAGAAUAAAAUAUUAAUAGCGAUCAAUAAUAUAUAUUUUAUUAAUAUAACAAUAUAAUAACUGUAUUAAAUAAUUUGUAAGCAAAAAUGUAUUUUAUCUUUUUGUAACAUAACCUUUUUUUAUAACUUUAUUGAAUAGUUUUUAAUAUGCACUAAUACUAUUUAAUGCAAGAUCAGUUAAUGUUAUCAGAUUAAUUAAACAAAUUUUUACAUAAAUAUGGCAACGUGGACAAAAGAAGCUGUUCAAAUUUUAAUUGAUGCAUAUAAGAAUGAGCCUUGUUUAUAUCAAACGAGAAACCCAAAUUAUCACAAUAAAAAUCUACGUAAUGAAGCAUUGGAACGCAUUUGUGCAAUUGUCAGUACUGUCAAACCAAAUAUAACGGGAAAAGAAUGCAGUAUUAAAUUUUAUAAUUUAAGAAAUCAAUUUAAUACUGAAAACGCAAAAGUAAGAGCCUCAAUUAAGUGGUAUAGGUAGUGAAAAUGUAAGUAUAUAUAUUUAAUUAAAAUAAUGUAUAGAUUAGACAUAAUGAUUUGUAUUGUUAUGUAAUACAAAUUACAGGUGUAUAAACCUAAUUUAUGGUAUUACGAUGCUUUAAAAUUUCUGGAAGAACAUAUAGUUCCCAGAAAAAGUAAGAACUCACAUCUACCAAAUAGUACAAAAGAUACACCUGGUUUUUUGUUACACCAUGAUUAUGUACAAACAUCACAAGACUUAGAAGAAUUGCAAGAAAUGUUGGUUGAAGAUAAUAAUGUCUAUGUACAUGAAGAGGAUUUAAAUAAUAAUAAUGAAGAAUCACAAUCAUGUGCAUCUUCAUCAUCUGAUAACAUAAUUGCUACAACACCAUCGAUUUUAAAACAAAAAAAAAA